UACAGAGGUCCCAAGCGUUGUUCGGAUUCACUGGGCGUAAAGGGUGCGUAGGCGGUCGGGUAAGUCUGAUGUGAAAUCUCACAGCUUAACUGUGAAACUGCAUUGGAUACUAUCCGGCUCGAGGAAUGGAGGGGAGACUGGAAUACUUGGUGUAGCAGUGAAAUGCGUAGAUAUCAAGUGGAACACCAGUGGCGAAGGCGAGUCCCUGGACAUUUCCUGACGCUGAGGCACGAAAGCCAGGGGAGCAAACGGG
Molecule: ribosomal RNA, 253 nt
Filed under: uncultured bacterium
Lineage: Bacteria
Description: partial 16S ribosomal RNA
Rfam family: Bacterial small subunit ribosomal RNA
Source: RNAcentral